Molecule: ribosomal RNA, 490 nt
Filed under: uncultured bacterium
Lineage: Bacteria
Description: partial 16S ribosomal RNA
Rfam family: Bacterial small subunit ribosomal RNA
Source: RNAcentral
GAUGAGCGCUAGCUACAGGCUUAACACAUGCAAGUCGAGGGGCAGCAUGGUCUUAGCUUGCUAAGGCCGAUGGCGACCGGCGCACGGGUGAGUAACACGUAUCCAACCUGCCGUCUACUCUUGGACAGCCUUCUGAAAGGAAGAUUAAUACAAGAUGGCAUCAUGAGUCCGCAUGUUCACAUGAUUAAAGGUAUUCCGGUAGACGAUGGGGAUGCGUUCCAUUAGAUAGUAGGCGGGGUAACGGCCCACCUAGUCUUCGAUGGAUAGGGGUUCUGAGAGGAAGGUCCCCCACAUUGGAACUGAGACACGGUCCAAACUCCUACGGGAGGCAGCAGUGAGGAAUAUUGGUCAAUGGGCGCAGGCCUGAACCAGCCAAGUAGCGUGAAGGAUGACUGCCCUAUGGGUUGUAAACUUCUUUUAUAAAGGAAUAAAGUCGGGUAUGUAUACCCGUUUGCAUGUACUUUAUGAAUAAGGAUCGGCUAACUCCGUG